This 264-nucleotide ribosomal RNA is filed under the name uncultured bacterium. Its description in RNAcentral is "partial 16S ribosomal RNA". It matches the Rfam family "Bacterial small subunit ribosomal RNA", at positions 793 to 1055 of the family's 1533-position model. The record is from RNAcentral.
GUCAACGCCGUAAACGAUGAAUACUAGGCGUAGGUGACCUUAAAAUCAUCUGUGCCGAAGCAAACGCAUUAAGUAUUCCGCCUGGGAAGUACGGCCGCAAGGCUAAAACUCAAAGGAAUUGACGGGGGCCCCGCACAAGCAGCGGAGCGUGUGGUUUAAUUCGAUGCAACACGAAGAACCUUACCCAGGUUUGACAUACAGGUAGUAGUGAAGCGAAAGCGGAACGAUCUUCGGAAGCCUGUACAGGUGCUGCAUGGCUGUCGU